Molecule: ribosomal RNA, 464 nt
Filed under: Streptococcus sp. oral taxon 058
Lineage: Bacteria; Bacillati; Bacillota; Bacilli; Lactobacillales; Streptococcaceae
Description: bacterial SSU rRNA
Rfam family: Bacterial small subunit ribosomal RNA
Source: RNAcentral
GACGAACGCUGGCGGCGUGCCUAAUAAAUGCAAGUAGAACGCUGAAGGAAGGAGCUUGCUCUUUCCGGAUGAGUUGCGAACGGGUGAGUAACGCGUAGGUAACCUGCCUGGUAGCGGGGGAUAACUAUUGGAAACGAUAGCUAAUACCGCAUAAUAUUGAUUAUUGCAUGAUAGUCAAUUAAAAGGUGCAAUUGCAUCACUACCAGAUGGACCUGCGUUGUAUUAGCUAGUUGGUGGGGUAACGGCUCACCAAGGCGACGAUACAUAGCCGACCUGAGAGGGUGAUCGGCCACACUGGGACUGAGACACGGCCCAGACUCCUACGGGAGGCAGCAGUAGGGAAUCUUCGGCAAUGGACGGAAGUCUGACCGAGCAACGCCGCGUGAGUGAAGAAGGUUUUCGGAUCGUAAAGCUCUGUUGUAAGAGAAGAACGAGUGUGAGAGUGGAAAGUUCACACUGAGACG